RNAcentral lists this ribosomal RNA (399 nucleotides) under uncultured bacterium. RNAcentral's name for it is "partial 16S ribosomal RNA". It matches the Rfam family "Bacterial small subunit ribosomal RNA", at positions 28 to 526 of the family's 1533-position model. The record is from RNAcentral.
GACGAACGCUGGCGGCGUGCUUAACACAUGCAAGUCGAACGAAGUGGGAACGGGUGAGUAAUACGUGGGUAACCUCCCUCCUUUUUGGGAUAAGCCUUGGAAACGGGGUCUAAACCGAAUAGCUGGGCUCGCGGCCUGUCAGCUUGUUGGUGGGGUGAUGGCGUACCAAGGCGGGGACGGGUAGCCGGCCUGAGAGGGGGACCGGCAAAAGUGGGACUGGGAACAGGGCCAGACUCCCACGGGAGGGAGCAGGGGGGAAACUUCCGCAAUGGACGAAAGUCUGAAGGAGCAACGCCGGGGGAGUGAUGACGGCCUUCGGGUUGUAAAGCUCUGUUCAUCGGGACGCGGUACCGGAAUAGAAAGCCACGGCUAACUACGUGCCAGCAGCCGCGGUAAUAC